GCCGAAGGCGAAGGCUUGAUGUUUCUGAAGUGUUUUGGGGGAGAAGUAUAAGAUGUGAAGAGUUGUUGAAUUCUGCCAGAGCACUGUUACAGAAGCUAGCUGAUCUGUGGGACUUCUGUCAAGUUGAGAGGUGCUUUGGAUGCUACCCUACCUUGAGCCCUGUUCUUCACUGGGAGCUGAAGCUCCAGAGAGAGGAUGGGAUGAAGAACAAAGCUGCCAUUACCUUAUACAGUGAGCUCUAUCUUCGGUGGUACCAGAACACCAGAAUCGUCUUGGAUGCUUUGAUCUGGAGAUCAGUGCAAGGGAGGACUGGAGACCCCUCUACGUGAGAUUAUAGUAGCUGAAGACUGCUUCUGGUGGGGAUUUCAGUGUGGAGUCCUCAUACUUCUGAAAUACCAGCUAAACUACUCUGCAGCAGCUGUUGGGAACAGGCUGGGUCCUGUUAAGUCCUAUCUUGAGUGCUGCAGUAAUACUCUAACUGUGCAAAACCUGGAAUACUUCAUAAGCCUUCCAUUAGUUACAGAUAGCUUCUUGGAAAUAACUAGACUGAGACACCAGAGCUGUAGAUCAAAUAGUCUCAUCUUCAUGACCACUGUAGUCAUUUCAGUACUGUGCAAAACAGAAGCAUAAGUUUUUGUUGUGUUGAUAUUGCUUUUCCUCCUGAAGUUUCUAUAUUGGCAGGAAUCUACUUGGAAAUACCUGGUGUGACCCACCAAUCACUCUUCACCCACACUCUCUACCAGCUAGAGAAGGGAUACAUUGAAUAAAGGGGAGUAUUAACAAGCACAGGUGAUUAAUCUAGACUGAAUUUAGGGAGGAAAACAGGGUUAACACCCCUACACUUUCAUCUUUCUGGAAAUCACCUCCCGGCCCAUUACCCAAAUGAUAAAAGCUCUUACACACCACUUGCAGUAACUGCUUGGAUUUCCAUGUGCUGUACUAGUCCUGAGUAUGCUCAGACUUGCUUAAGAUGGGAAUAAGGUACAUGGUUUUUUCCAGAUCUGCUUCCGGAUGAGAAGGUGAUGGUUUUUAUUGUGCAAAUUUUGGAAACCAAAUACAAGCUCUAUCGUCAAAGUGGGGGGGUGGUCUGGAGUACCUAUUGGUAUUUCCUGUUGGUCAGACUUUCAUAUACGGAGGAGCUGUUUCUAUUGGUCCUAUUGGCCUGACACGGCAACCAAUCAAAUCAUUUUCUAGAUAGCCGGUGACAACGCUGGGUGACCAUCUUUAUAUACUCCUCCUGAGAGAGGACCUGAAGGCUGCUGCUUCUGGGAAGGAGAGAUCCUGCACACUGAGCUUGUUAGAGGACACAGCUGCCACAAUGCAGUCUGUUCUCACUCCUCCACCUGGUUCGUGGUGACUGAGCUGCUGCUACAUAUAAGUCAGUGACCCAGGAGAGCUGCACUGAGGGGUGGGUGAAGUGUGUCCCCUCCUGUCGGUGAAGUGCCCUGGACUCCUGUGGGCAGUGCUGACGAGCACAGGCCUUUACCCUGAGUCCCUGAGCUGUGAGGAUCAUGAGGACACCUGGACAGUCAACACAGUCUGCAGCUUCACCUGUAUAAGAGGUCACUCUUAACAGCAGUUUCUUACAUCGUUCGCAGGGAGUUAUGAUGCAGGGUUUUCUCUUUCAGUGGAUUAAAAAAAUUCACAUUCCCAGUUUCUGGAACAAAUGUUGAUAUAAAAAGAUUGAAUUGUUAGGAAAACAAUACAGUGAUCAUUCUAUCACUUGAUA
Non-coding RNA from Lepisosteus oculatus (spotted gar), 1729 nucleotides. NCBI's taxonomy places the organism in Eukaryota, Metazoa, Chordata, Actinopteri, Semionotiformes, Lepisosteidae. The record is from RefSeq and is a predicted model, not a curated record.